AAAAUGUGUAAAAAUGUGUAAUCUACUCC
This 29-nucleotide small RNA is filed under the name Bombyx mori (domestic silkworm). RNAcentral describes it as "ovarian small RNA-9898". Lineage: Eukaryota; Metazoa; Arthropoda; Insecta; Lepidoptera; Bombycidae. The record is from RNAcentral.